This 76-nucleotide transfer RNA is filed under the name Actinomycetes bacterium. RNAcentral describes it as "Actinobacteria bacterium tRNA-Glu". It matches the Rfam family "tRNA". From Rfam's summary of the family: Transfer RNA (tRNA) molecules are approximately 80 nucleotides in length. Their secondary structure includes four short double-helical elements and three loops (D, anti-codon, and T loops). The record is from RNAcentral. Lineage: Bacteria; Bacillati; Actinomycetota; Actinomycetes.
GGUCCCAUCGUCUAGUGGCCGAGGACACCACCCUCUCAAGGUGGAGACACGGGUUCAAAUCCCGUUGGGACUACCC